GGGCCUAUAGCUCAGUUGGUUAGAGCAGCGGACUCAUAAUCCGUUGGUCCCCAGUUCAAGUCUGGGUGGGCCCA
Non-coding RNA from Alkanindiges sp., 74 nucleotides. Lineage: Bacteria; Pseudomonadati; Pseudomonadota; Gammaproteobacteria; Moraxellales; Moraxellaceae. The record is from Rfam.